RNAcentral lists this ribosomal RNA (406 nucleotides) under uncultured bacterium. RNAcentral's name for it is "partial 16S ribosomal RNA". It matches the Rfam family "Bacterial small subunit ribosomal RNA", at positions 30 to 526 of the family's 1533-position model. The record is from RNAcentral.
AUUGAACGCUGGCGGCAGGCUUAACACAUGCAAGUCGAACGAGUGGCGGACGGGUGAGUAAUGCUUGGGAAUAUGCCUUAUGGUGGGGGACAACAGUUGGAAACGACUGCUAAUACCGCAUACCAUAAGCGUAGCCCAAGUGGGAUUAGCUAGUUGGUAAGGUAAUGGCUUACCAAGGCGACGAUCCCUAGUUGGUCUUAGAGGAUGACCAGCCACACUGGAACUGAGACACGGUCCAGACUCCUACGGGAGGCAGCAGUGGGGAAUAUUGCACAAUGGGCGCAAGCCUGAUGCAGCCAUGCCGCGUGUAUGAAGAAGGCCCUAGGGUUGUAAAGUACUUUCAGUCGGGAGGCGUUACCGACAGAAGAAGCACCGGCUAACUCCGUGCCAGCAGCCGCGGUAAUUC